This 22-nucleotide small nuclear RNA is filed under the name Arabidopsis thaliana (thale cress). Its description in RNAcentral is "snRNA_01341". Lineage: Eukaryota; Viridiplantae; Streptophyta; Magnoliopsida; Brassicales; Brassicaceae. The record is from RNAcentral.
UUGAACGCAGGUGAUGAAUAUG